GAACCCCAUGGAUUUGGGUUGGAUCUGGGGAGCCCCACGGCUUUGGGGGCGACCGUGGGGGGAUGUAGGGAGCCCCAUGGAUUUGGGGAUCCCCAAGGACCCCACAGAUGUGGGGCUGAGCAAGAUGCAAUGAAGGGAGCCCCAUGGAUUUGGGGGAUCCCCAAAGACCCCAGAGAUGUGGGGCUGAGCGAGGUGGGAUGAAGGGAACCCCAUGGAUUUGGGUUGAAUCUGGGGAGCCCCAUUGGUUUUGGGGGUGUCUGUGGGGGGAUGUAGGAAACCCCAUGGAUCUGGGUGGGAUCUGGGGAGCCCCAUGGAUUUGGGGAUCCCCAAGGACCCCACAGAUGUGGGGCUGGCCCAGGGGGGUGAAGGGAACCCCAUGGCUUUGGGGGCGUCCUUGGGGGGAUGUAGGGAACCCCAUGGAUCUGGGUGGGAUUUGGGGAUCCCCACGGGUUUGGGGGCGCCGGUGGGGCGGUGUGGGGCGGUGUGGGGCGGUGUGGGGCGGUGUGGGGCGGUGUGGGGCCGGCUCACUCUCGGCGAUGACGAGCGCCUCGGGGCUGAGCGCGGUGCCCAGCGCGUUGGACGCGAAGCAGCGGAAGCGGCCCUGGAGCCGCGCGGCGGCGCUGGCGUUGAUGAGCAGCGAACCCGAGCCCGGGCUCUGCCACACGCCCACGUGGGACCACGGAGAGAACGGGACAUCGUCG
RNAcentral lists this long non-coding RNA (701 nucleotides) under Numida meleagris (helmeted guineafowl). RNAcentral's name for it is "lncRNA (ENSNMEG00000000406.1)". The record is from RNAcentral. Lineage: Eukaryota; Metazoa; Chordata; Aves; Galliformes; Numididae.